GACGAACGCUGGCGGCGUGCUUAACACAUGCAAGUCGAACGGAAAGGCCCUGCUUUUGUGGGGUGCUCGAGUGGCGAACGGGUGAGUAACACGUGAGUAACCUGCCCUUGACUUUGGGAUAACUUCAGGAAACUGGGGCUAUUACCGGAUAGGAGCUCCUGCUGCGUGGUGGGGGUUGGAAAGUUUCGGCGGUUGGGGAUGGACUCGCGGCUUAUCCGCUUGUUGGUGGGGUAGUGGCUUACCAAGGCUUUGACGGGUAGCCGGCCUGGGAGGGUGACCGGCCACAUUGGGACUACGAUACGGCCCAGAAUCCUACGGGAGGCAGCAGUGGGGAAUAUUACACAAUGGGCGGAAGCCUGAUGCAGCAGCGCCGCGUGCGGGAUGACGGCCUUCGGGUUGUAAACCGCUUUCGCCUGUGACGAAGCGUGAGUGACGGUAAUGGGUAAAGAAGCACCGGCUAACUACGUG
RNAcentral lists this ribosomal RNA (468 nucleotides) under uncultured bacterium. Its description in RNAcentral is "partial 16S ribosomal RNA". It matches the Rfam family "Bacterial small subunit ribosomal RNA", at positions 28 to 507 of the family's 1533-position model. The record is from RNAcentral.